UCCGGAUUUANUGGGCGUAAAGCGAGCGCAGGCGGUUUUUUAAGUCUGAUGUGAAAGCCCUCGGCUUAACCGAGGAAGCGCAUCGGAAACUGGGAAACUUGAGUGCAGAAGAGGACAGUGGAACUCCAUGUGUA
Molecule: ribosomal RNA, 134 nt
Filed under: Lactobacillus sp. HL7
Lineage: Bacteria; Bacillati; Bacillota; Bacilli; Lactobacillales; Lactobacillaceae
Description: partial 16S ribosomal RNA
Rfam family: Bacterial small subunit ribosomal RNA
Source: RNAcentral